AAACAGUAAGCAAAGGAUGCGCGGGCCUGCCAUGCAGAUUCCCGCGCCCCGAUCCGCUUCGGAUCAGACGGAUUCGACC
This 79-nucleotide small RNA is filed under the name Sinorhizobium meliloti 2011. Its description in RNAcentral is "putative ncRNA". Lineage: Bacteria; Pseudomonadati; Pseudomonadota; Alphaproteobacteria; Hyphomicrobiales; Rhizobiaceae. The record is from RNAcentral.